Molecule: ribosomal RNA, 497 nt
Filed under: uncultured bacterium
Lineage: Bacteria
Description: partial 16S ribosomal RNA
Rfam family: Bacterial small subunit ribosomal RNA
Source: RNAcentral
GAUGAACGCUGGCGGCGUGCCUAAUACAUGCAAGUCGAGCGAACGAACGAGAAGCUUGCUUUUCUGAUGUUAGCGGCGGACGGGUGAUUAACACGUGGAUAACCUACCUAUAAGACUGGGAUAACUUCGGGAAAGCGGAGCUAAUAUCGGAUAAUAUUUUGAACCGCAUGGUUCAAAAGUGAACGACGGUCUUGCUGUCCCUUAUACAUGGAUCCGCGCUGCAUUAGCUAGUUGGUAAGGUAACGGCUUACCAAGGCAACGAUGCAUAGCCGGUCUGAGAGGGUGAUCAGCCACACUGGAACUGAGACACGGUCCAGACUCCUACGGGAGGCAGCAGUAGGGAAUCUUGCGCAAUGGGCGAAAGCCUGACGGAGCAACGCCGCGUGAGUGAUGAAGGUCUUCGGAUCGUAAAGCUCUGUUAUUAGGGAAGAACAUAUGUGUAAGUAACUGUGCACAUCUUGACGUUACCUAAUCAGAAAGCCACGGCUAACUACGUG